GCGGCGGCGGCGGCGGCGGCCCGGAGCCCCCGAGCCCCCGGCAGGUGCGCCUGCCCUUCCCCGCGAUCUGAUUGGAUACAGUGGGGGCUCGACGGUGGCCGCCGUGGGACAGUGCGGCGGCGGCAGGGGUCUCGGAAACCAUGGGUUAUUGCAGCGGCAGGUGCACGCUCAUCUUCAUCUGUGGCAUGCAACUGGAAACAUAUUCAUGCAAAGGUACGACAAAACCAUCAUUUUAAAAUCCCAGCAGUCUUCUGGAUGGAGGUGACCACUGAUUCACAGCCCAUUGGAGAAGGUCAUCAAGAGCACAGGACUUCCAAUUGACCCUGGUGCUAGACCGUGGGCAGUGGGAUGCUCCUCAUCCUUUCCCCUGACCUUGGAAUAUCCCUUCUGCUCACCGGGCCCACGGUGGGAGCUGUUCCAAGGAUGCAGCCUUGAAAGAGUAACAUGCUGUUGAGACCAUCUGUUCCUCAUAUGCAGCUGAACCCAGUGAAGUCCUCUGUUAGAGACUUUCAAGAUUCUGGUGGGCAGGCUUAGAAAUCUGCUUGCCUUGUGGCCACCCAAGACUAACGUCAUAUGGAAAUUCUCUCUCACUUAUUAAAGCUCCAUCUGCCAAUCUGGAGUGAUCUGCUUAUGUCUUUGGUCUCUCGUCACCCUCUGUGUAUGG
This 664-nucleotide long non-coding RNA is filed under the name Vulpes vulpes (red fox). Its description in RNAcentral is "lncRNA (ENSVVUG00000000426.1)". The record is from RNAcentral. Lineage: Eukaryota; Metazoa; Chordata; Mammalia; Carnivora; Canidae.